RNAcentral lists this ribosomal RNA (586 nucleotides) under uncultured bacterium. RNAcentral's name for it is "bacterial SSU rRNA". It matches the Rfam family "Bacterial small subunit ribosomal RNA", at positions 338 to 918 of the family's 1533-position model. The record is from RNAcentral.
CCUACGGGAGGCAGCAGUGGGGAAUAUUGGACAAUGGGCGCAAGCCUGAUCCAGCCAUGCCGCGUGUGUGAAGAAGGCCUUAGGGUUGUAAAGCACUUUCAGGGGUGAGGAAGGGUGAUAGCUUAAUACGUUAUCAUUUUGACGUUAGCCCCAGAAGAAGCACCGGCUAACUCUGUGCCAGCAGCCGCGGUAAUACAGAGGGUGCAAGCGUUAAUCGGAAUUACUGGGCGUAAAGCGCGCGUAGGUGGUUUGUUAAGUCGGAUGUGAAAUCCCAGGGCUCAACCUUGGAAUGGCACCCGAUACUGGCUAGCUAGAGUAUGGUAGAGGGGUGUGGAAUUUCCUGUGUAGCGGUGAAAUGCGUAGAUAUAGGAAGGAACAUCAGUGGCGAAGGCGACACCCUGGACUAAUACUGACACUGAGGUGCGAAGGCGUGGGGAGCAAACAGGAUUAGAUACCCUGGUAGUCCACGCCGUAAACGAUGUCUACUAGCCGUUGGGUUGUAAUGACUUAGUGGCGCAGCUAACGCAAUAAGUAGACCGCCUGGGGAGUACGGCCGCAAGGUUAAAACUCAAAGGAAUUGACGGGG